AAAAACAAGAAUAUGUGUGCUCAGAAGCACGCCCAGUGCCACAUCAUGGAAGAGGGAGGCCAGCAAAAGACUGGGCCAAAUCUCCACGGUCUCUUUGGAAAGAAGACAGGUCAGGCUGUUGGAUUCACUUACACAGACGCCAAUAAGAAAAAAAGCAUUGCCUGGGGAGAGGAUACACUGAUACAGUAUUUGGAGAAUCCCAAGAAGUCUAUUCCUGGAACAAAAAUUAUCUUUGCCAGCAUUAAUAAGGUAGAAAGGGCAGAUUUGAUAGCUUACCUCAAAAAAGCUACUAAUGGCUAGG
Molecule: long non-coding RNA, 301 nt
Filed under: Homo sapiens (human)
Lineage: Eukaryota; Metazoa; Chordata; Mammalia; Primates; Hominidae
Description: non-protein coding lnc-CHP1-8:1
Source: RNAcentral